UACGUAGGGGGCAAGCGUUAUCCGGAUUUACUGGGUGUAAAGGGAGCGUAGACGGCAGCGCAAGUCUGGAGUGAAAUCCCAUGGCUUAACCAUGGAACUGCUUUGGAAACUGUGCAGCUGGAGUGCAGGAGAGGUAAGCGGAAUUCCUAGUGUAGCGGUGAAAUGCGUAGAUAUCAGGAGGAAUACCGUUAGCGAAGGCGGCAAUCUGGCUGGAAACUGACGCUGAGGUGCGAAAGCGUGGGUAGCAAACAGG
Molecule: ribosomal RNA, 253 nt
Filed under: uncultured Eubacteriales bacterium
Lineage: Bacteria; Bacillati; Bacillota; Clostridia; Eubacteriales
Description: uncultured Clostridiales bacterium partial 16S ribosomal RNA
Rfam family: Bacterial small subunit ribosomal RNA
Source: RNAcentral